RNAcentral lists this ribosomal RNA (858 nucleotides) under uncultured fungus. RNAcentral describes it as "SSU rRNA". It matches the Rfam family "Eukaryotic small subunit ribosomal RNA", at positions 612 to 1508 of the family's 1831-position model. Lineage: Eukaryota; Fungi. The record is from RNAcentral.
GUUGCAGUUAAAAAGCUCGUAGUUGAACCUUGGGCCUGGCUGGCCGGUCCGCCUCACCGCGUGCACUGGUUCGGCCGGGCCUUUCCCUCUGGGGAACUUCAUGCCCUUCACUGGGUGUGUUAGGGAACCAGGACUUUUACUGUGAAAAAAUUAGAGUGUUCAAAGCAGGCCUAUGCUCGAAUACAUUAGCAUGGAAUAAUAGAAUAGGACGUGUGGUUCUAUUUUGUUGGUUUCUAGGACCGCCGUAAUGAUUAAUAGGGACAGUCGGGGGCAUCAGUACUCAAUUGUCAGAGGUGAAAUUCUUGGAUUUAUUGAAGACUAACUACUGCGAAAGCAUUUGCCAAGGAUGUUUUCAUUAAUCAGGAACGAAAGUUAGGGGAUCGAAGACGAUCAGAUACCGUCGUAGUCUUAACCAUAAACUAUGCCGACUAGGGAUCGGACGAUGUUAUUUUUUGACUCGUUCGGCACCUUACGAGAAAUCAAAGUGUUUGGGUUCUGGGGGGAGUAUGGUCGCAAGGCUGAAACUUAAAGAAAUUGACGGAAGGGCACCACCAGGAGUGGAGCCUGCGGCUUAAUUUGACUCAACACGGGGAAACUCACCAGGUCCAGACACAAUGAGGAUUGACAGAUUGAGAGCUCUUUCUUGAUUUUGUGGGUGGUGGUGCAUGGCCGUUCUUAGUUGGUGGAGUGAUUUGUCUGCUUAAUUGCGAUAACGAACGAGACCUUAACCUGCUAAAUAGCCCGUAUUGCUUUGGCAGUACGCUGGCUUCCUAGAGGGACUAUCCGCUCAGCGACGAGUUUGAGCAUACAGUCUGUGAUGCCCUUAGAUGUUCUGGCGCACGUCGCGUUACAACUGAA